RNAcentral lists this ribosomal RNA (568 nucleotides) under uncultured Gammaproteobacteria bacterium. Its description in RNAcentral is "bacterial SSU rRNA". It matches the Rfam family "Bacterial small subunit ribosomal RNA", at positions 1 to 573 of the family's 1533-position model. Lineage: Bacteria; Pseudomonadati; Pseudomonadota; Gammaproteobacteria. The record is from RNAcentral.
UGAGUUUGAUCAUGGCUCAGAUUGAACGCUGGCGGCAGGCCUAACACAUGCAAGUCGAACGGUAACAUUUCUAGCUUGCUAGAAGAUGACGAGUGGCGGACGGGUGAGUAAUGCUUGGGAACUUGCCUUUGCGAGGGGGAUAACAGUUGGAAACGACUGCUAAUACCGCAUAAUGUCUUCGGACCAAACGGGGCUUCGGCUCCGGCGCAAAGAGAGGCCCAAGUGAGAUUAGCUAGUUGGUAAGGUAACGGCUUACCAAGGCGACGAUCUCUAGCUGUUCUGAGAGGAAGAUCAGCCACACUGGGACUGAGACACGGCCCAGACUCCUACGGGAGGCAGCAGUGGGGAAUAUAGCACAAUGGGGGAAACCCUGAUGCAGCCAUGCCGCGUGUGUGAAGAAGGCCUUCGGGUUGUAAAGCACUUUCAGUUGUGAGGAAAAGUUAGUAGUUAAUACCUGCUAGCCGUGACGUUAACAACAGAAGAAGCACCGGCUAACUCCGUGCCAGCAGCCGCGGUAAUACGGAGGGUGCGGGCGUUAAUCGGAAUUACUGGGCGUAAAGCGCACGCA